GAUGAAGAACGUAGCAAAAUGCGAUACUUCGUGUGAAUUGCAGAAUCCCGUGAACCAUCGAGUUUUUGAACGCAAGUUGCGCCCGAAGCCUUUUGGCCGAGGGCACGUCUGCCUGGGCGUCACGCAUCGCGUCGCCCCCCACAAUUCUUCGUAAAGGGAACAUGUGUUUUGGGGGCGGAUAUUGGUCUCCCGUGCUCAUGGCGUGGUUGGCCGAAAUAGGAGUCCUUUCGAUGGACGCACGAACUAGUGGUGGUCGUAAAAACCCUCGUCUUUUGUUUUGUGCUGUUGCUCGCAAGGUAAACUCUUUAAAAACCCCAAUGUGCCGUCUCUUGACGACGCUUCGACCGCGACCCCAGGUCAGGCGGGACUACCCGCUGAGUUUAAGCAUAUCAAUAAGCGGAGGA
RNAcentral lists this unclassified non-coding RNA (404 nucleotides) under soil metagenome. Its description in RNAcentral is "partial contains 5.8S ribosomal RNA, internal transcribed spacer 2, and large subunit ribosomal RNA". The stretch from base 1 to 122 matches the Rfam family "5.8S ribosomal RNA", at positions 35 to 154 of the family's 154-position model. The record is from RNAcentral.